Molecule: ribosomal RNA, 254 nt
Filed under: uncultured bacterium
Lineage: Bacteria
Description: partial 16S ribosomal RNA
Rfam family: Bacterial small subunit ribosomal RNA
Source: RNAcentral
CGGAGGAUCCAAGCGUUAUCCGGAAUCAUUGGGUUUAAAGGGUCCGUAGGCGGUUUAAUAAGUCAGUGGUGAAAGCCCAUCGCUCAACGGUGGAACGGCCAUUGAUACUGUUAAACUUGAAUUAUUAGGAAGUAACUAGAAUAUGUAGUGUAGCGGUGAAAUGCUUAGAGAUUACAUGGAAUACCAAUUGCGAAGGCAGGUUACUACUAAUGGAUUGACGCUGAUGGACGAAAGCGUGGGUAGCGAACAGGAUU